Molecule: long non-coding RNA, 459 nt
Organism: Pogoniulus pusillus (Red-fronted tinkerbird)
Lineage: Eukaryota; Metazoa; Chordata; Aves; Piciformes; Lybiidae
Exons: 4
Source: RefSeq, a predicted model, not a curated record
GGGUUUUCUGCUCUUGCUUGGAGUUUUCUGAGCUUGCUCCUGUAGCUUCUCCUGCUCCUGUGGGCUGCUGUCCUGUUCUGGGAAGUGAGCGACACUGCACGGGGAUGGAGUUGUGUGAAAGGAGGGAUUUAAAGCAGAGGUGGCUUGGUAAAUGGGGGAAGAGGUUUUUGGCAGUGGGAAAACUGGAAUGAAAUACCUACCUCCAGAAGAGCAAGCAGAGCUACAGGCAGUCUGCAGAGGAGUCACCCCUCUGAGCAGAGCUUUUGCUUAUGGCUGGACAUAGAGAAUCUGGACUUGCUGGGUGAGCUGGAUGGAAUGAAAACAGCUCCUUACAAGCAAAAAGGUUCCAAUUCUGCCACAAAUGGGUGUCAACAAGAAAAUUGUUCUUCCACCAAAGCUUUUGGAACUAAAACAGUCUUUUCAACUGUUGUUCUGAGCAAGAGAGAGAGAAUUUCUGUG